GAGAGAUGGUCGAGUGGUUUAAGGCAGCGGUCUUGAAAACCGCCGUGGCAGUGAUGCCACCGGGGGUUCGAAUCCCCCUCUCUCC
Molecule: transfer RNA, 85 nt
Filed under: human gut metagenome
Rfam family: tRNA
About the family: Transfer RNA (tRNA) molecules are approximately 80 nucleotides in length. Their secondary structure includes four short double-helical elements and three loops (D, anti-codon, and T loops).
Source: RNAcentral